UGAUACUGGCCUUAGAAAAAGCAUUACAUGGAUGAUACCAACUAUAAACAGUUGAAUUCAUGUAUCACAAUCAUACAGAAAAAAAAAGAGUUGGUCCAAUUUUUUUAAAGUCAUGAUAUGACAACAAGUGAAAAAUCCAAGUGAUUAAUAAAAUUUAAAUGUACCUUGAAACUCGCCUCUUAAUUUUGGAGACACGUGUGAUCAUAUGCCAAUGCCGCUUAAUUCCAGUAUCACAUGGACAACUUGUGUCAACAGAAAGAUUUACUACUCGAAAAGAACCGUAAAACUAAUUAUUUUUCAUAUGCAGAUACAAGACAUGCUGUCACGACCCGAGCCGAGGUCCUGGCCACGACGAGCAUCCCGAACCAUUAAGAUCCGGGUGCCCCUUUCUAUCUGUCAAUCAUGAACACCAUUCAUAUACAAUAAGGAAAAAUGCGAAAAAAUAUUACAACGGAAUCAUGGUCAACUCUUAUUUCAACUACACAAUAAUGAAAUGAGUUCAUAAGAUCAAUAUCUAACAUUAGUCUGCGAAAUCUCUACUGACUGAAAAUAACCUCUGAAGACUGAGACAAAACUGGGACAAGGCCCCAGCAGACCAUAGAAAAGGAUAGAAACAAUGAAAUCUGAAAUUCAGGCCUUUCGGAAUAGAGGAGGCUCAUCAACUGCAACUUCUGACACGCACGGAUCUACUGCUAUAUGAGACUGCAGGACUGUGUCUCGGAUCCUGCAGAGCAAUCCAAAGUAAUGUAUUUAUUAUAUAUAUAACAUAGAUGAGAGCAAGUCUUGAAACAUUAAGCAUGUAAUAGUUAAAAAAAAUACAUGGGCAAUUUCAAUGAUCUUAAAACAAUCUUGUCAACACAGUUCUAAUCUUUGUAUUACUUCUGAGUUGGGUGGUACACCCUACAUUUUUACAAUCCCACGGGCUAUAUGGAAUCCGCCCUUAACUCGGCGGCCAAGCCCCCAACCCAAGUUUGCCGCAAGGGUUGGAUUUUAUGAAUAGUUUGGUAUACCCCCUACAAGUAUACCGUGGCAUCACCCUUACAUGACGUCCACAUUAUUUUCUUUUUCGGACAAUACCUGUAUCGGCAAAACAUGAUUUUUCUAGCGAUGAGCUCUUACAUUCAAACGCCUUCUUCGGGUAACCACCGAACUCUUUUUAAGCCCAUUUUUAGCUUGUUCUAAACAUGCAUCUUUCUGAAAAUCUGAGUAAAAAUCUAUAUUCUGUUCUGAAUUUACCAUGGCAUUAUCUGUAUUGGUAUCGUCAUACCAUGACUUGCAAGUCAUAUCUCUGAGCCAUAAAAAUAUCAUAUCACAGUCUUUUCUUUGAAAACAUAAAGUUCAAACCACCAUAUUUCAAAUAGUUCAAAAAAUUCCUUCUUCAAUACAUUUAUCAAACUAUGCAAAAACCAUUCCUUUCAAUCAUUUCAACAAACAUGUGGUCAUAAAUUUCAACAACCCAUGAAAUUCUUUUCAUAUAUAUAUAUAUUCAGCACUUACCAACAUGUAAAACCCUCUCUCUUCAAUUCAAAAAUCAAUAAUCAAGUCAUAAUCAAAGUCAAAGCUUUUAUAUUAAAUCAUGUUUCCAAUAUCACAUUUCGAACACAUCAUAUCUUACGAAGUUAAGAGACUUGUAAAUAAGAAAGGGAUUUCAAAUAAUUCAUGCUCUCAAUUCAUAAUUCAAACUCACCAAACUCAUACAUAUAUCAACUUGAACAUGGUUAUAAAUCAUAUUUGGGGAAAAGGCCUCAAGACAAAAUUAAUGUCAUCAAAAUCUUUAAAAGCAUGAAUCUAAUUAUAAAUCCAAAAACCCCUUGUAAAUUCAUAAUUUCUAAACCUUUAACAUGAUUAAUAAGAACUUACCAUGACCAUGUAUAUUUAGGAAGACCCCACGUACCUUAGAUUACUUAGACUAAAGAGUAGAACUCGAAUCUUGAUUCUUUUUCUUAGAAAUCUUGGACUUGGCUUGAAUUCUUGAUCUUGAAUGUUGGAACUUAGGGUUUUGGGUUGAGAAGAAUUUUGAUGAAUAUAAGUAUAAAAUUCUUGCAAGAGGCUUAAAUCAGAUGUUUGGGCGGAUUGGAGUUGGGGAAAAGACUAAAAUACUCUUAAGGAAACAAAAAAAAGUCGCAGCAGUCCCUCAGUUGAUAGAUUGAUAUGCUGAAGUAAAUUAGGCAUAACUUUUUACUCCGAUGUUGUAUUUGGAAG
Molecule: long non-coding RNA, 2202 nt
Filed under: Capsicum annuum
Lineage: Eukaryota; Viridiplantae; Streptophyta; Magnoliopsida; Solanales; Solanaceae
Description: long non-coding RNA (CANN_LNC016641)
Source: RNAcentral